Molecule: long non-coding RNA, 796 nt
Organism: Lolium rigidum
Lineage: Eukaryota; Viridiplantae; Streptophyta; Magnoliopsida; Poales; Poaceae
Exons: 3
Source: RefSeq, a predicted model, not a curated record
AGGAUGGACGCUACAAUGGCAAUCACAAGCAGAAAUUGAUCCCAAAGUGCGACAGGAGGCCUGGCGCUCUCUAGACUUCCCCACCGAAGCCAUCACUGCUGAUGCCUUCAUUGGAGAUGACCAUCUUGAAGCUCCUCCUAGCGAUAGAGUCUAGCAUCCUGGCCGGCGUUGUAGCGUGGCGUCCCCCACACCCGUGGUGUUCGGUGGUGGGACUACGAGGCGCAACUAUGAGAGCUGAGCACCAGCCCUGGCCCAAAGCCAUUCUUCUCCUAUUUCCCAUCUCAAGAGUGAUCUGACUUGAUUAGUACUUCAGCUUCGAAUACAGACAUGGCUCAGUUCAGUUGCAGCUAUGUAUGCAUUACUUGCAAGAUCAUAGGUGGAGGUUACUGAAAGAACAAAGAAACGAUUGUUCUACUUAUUCAGGCCUUGACCUUGGAGAGUCCCAAGACGACCUCGGAUGCCACUGGCAGUCAGACAUCACUGGCUGUUUGGAACAUUCCACUUUACAAUGCUAAUGGAGAUGCAUCUGAAACGACAUACAUUUUUUAUGAGAUCAUUCCUAAGAAUAUAUGGAUGCACCUUCAAAUCGGGAGAAUUUGCUUCAAAAGAUACAAGAGUUUUGUCCUGAAUUGUGUGACUAAUUUACAUGAGCUUCAGGUAGUUUCGUUGGAUAGAUUCUAGGGAAGAAUAAUGGUGAAGCCAGCUUUGUAUCUAUAGGGGUACGAGAGGAAUCCGCAAGUAAUCAAGGUUAGCUUGGACUACAAGUGGGGAAAGAAGGAUUAGUUUUCUUGGAAAA